ACCUGGCUAGCUCAGUCAGUAGAGCAUAAAACUCUAAAUUUCAGGCUCAUUGAGUCAUGGGUUGAAUCCCCAUGUUGGAUG
This is a non-coding RNA of Ameiurus melas (black bullhead), 81 nucleotides long. Lineage: Eukaryota; Metazoa; Chordata; Actinopteri; Siluriformes; Ictaluridae. The record is from the annotation of a GenBank genome assembly.